AUUUGAUAAUACCUUACUACUUGGAUAACCGUGGUAAUUCUAGAGCUAAUACAUGCUAAAAACCCCAACUUCGGGAGGGGUGUAUUUAUUAGAUAAAAAACCAAUGCCCUUCGGGGCUCCUUGGUGAUUCAUAAUAACUUCUCAGAUCGCACGUGCCUUGCGCCGGCGACGGUUCAUUCAAAUUUCUGCCCUAUCAACUUUCGAUGGUAAGGUAUUGGCUUACCAUGGUUUCAACGGGUAACGGGGAAUUAGGGUUCGAUUCCGGAGAGGGAGCCUGAGAAACGGCUACCACAUCCAAGGAAGGCAGCAGGCGCGCAAAUUACCCAAUUCCGACUUGGAGAGGUAGUGACAAUAAAUACUGAUACAGGGCUCUUUUGGGUCUUGUAAUUGGAAUGAGUACAAUUUAAACCUCUUAACGAGGAACAAUUGGAGGGCAAGUCUGGUGCCAGCAGCCGCGGUAAUUCCAGCUCCAAUAGCGUAUAUUAAAGUUGUUGCAGUUAAAAAGCUCGUAGUUGAACCUUUGGCCUGGCUGGCAGGUCCGCCUCACCGCGUGCACUUGUCCGGCCGGGCCUUUUCUUCUGGAGAACCGCAUGCCCUUCACUGGGUGUGUUGGGGACCAGGACUUUUACUUUGAAAAAAUUAGAGUGUUCAAAGCAGGCCUUUGCUCGAAUACGUUAGCAUGGAAUAAUAGAAUAGGACGUGCGGUCCUAUUUUGUUGGUUUCUAGGACCGCCGUAAUGAUUAAUAGGGACAGUCGGGGGCAUCAGUAUUCAAUUGUCAGAGGUGAAAUUCUUGGAUUUAUUGAAGACUAACUACUGCGAAAGCAUUUGCCAAGGAUGUUUUCAUUAAUCAGUGAACGAAAGUUAGGGGAUCGAAGACGAUCAGAUACCGUCGUAGUCUUAACCAUAAACUAUGCCGACUAGGGAUCGGGCGGUGUUUCUAUUGUGACCCGCUCGGC
RNAcentral lists this ribosomal RNA (957 nucleotides) under Letendraea padouk. RNAcentral describes it as "SSU rRNA". It matches the Rfam family "Eukaryotic small subunit ribosomal RNA", at positions 119 to 1084 of the family's 1831-position model. The record is from RNAcentral. Lineage: Eukaryota; Fungi; Ascomycota; Dothideomycetes; Pleosporales; Didymosphaeriaceae.